CGGGACGUAGCUCAGCAUGGUAGAGCACAGCGUUCGGGACGCUGGGGCCGCUGGUUCAAGUCCAGUCGUCCCGACCA
This 77-nucleotide transfer RNA is filed under the name Syntrophorhabdaceae bacterium PtaU1.Bin034. RNAcentral describes it as "tRNA-Pro". It matches the Rfam family "tRNA". From Rfam's summary of the family: Transfer RNA (tRNA) molecules are approximately 80 nucleotides in length. The record is from RNAcentral. Lineage: Bacteria; Pseudomonadati; Thermodesulfobacteriota; Syntrophorhabdia; Syntrophorhabdales; Syntrophorhabdaceae.